RNAcentral lists this long non-coding RNA (221 nucleotides) under Elaeis guineensis (African oil palm). Its description in RNAcentral is "long non-coding RNA (EGUI_LNC060935)". The record is from RNAcentral. Lineage: Eukaryota; Viridiplantae; Streptophyta; Magnoliopsida; Arecales; Arecaceae.
GGUCGAGGUCGAGCUCGUGGACAUGAUCCUUUAUCUCCUCACCCCAUCUCUGAUUCAUCAGACUCCGAUCCAUCCAGUCAUGAUAUCUAUUAGAUCCAGUGUAGUCUGUCUUUUCUUUAGUUUUUGUCUAGGAUCUAUCUUGUAGGCCAUGUAAUGCAAUGUUGACUGAUUGACUCUUGGAUAGUUUCUAUCCAUAUCUUUUGUACUCUAAGUCAACACUU